Molecule: long non-coding RNA, 1129 nt
Organism: Gymnodraco acuticeps
Lineage: Eukaryota; Metazoa; Chordata; Actinopteri; Perciformes; Bathydraconidae
Exons: 2
Source: RefSeq, a predicted model, not a curated record
CAGAGGACCUAAGUCUGGUUGAUGUAAGGACGUCAUAUCGGUGUCCUGCCUGAAAGAAAAUAAUAACACAAUGUGUGGUUGCUGCAUUUCCUGUUUCCUUAAAUAACACCAACAUGAGAAGCAUAUCAGGAUGAUGAGGAAUAGCUUUGCCUGAAAUCUUACUCUUGUCAGCAGUAAGUUACUCUGCUUACUUCUAACUCUCCCCUUGUGUCCGUCUCUUCUCAGGGUCCAGUCUCAGCGUCUGGUGGUCCGGCACCACAGGGGGGCUCCUCAGACGCCAGAUGGACCUUUCUUUUAGGGGCAGAAAGCAUCGAGUCGGGGCUGGAGUCAGUACUCGCCCUGAUCUUGGGGACAAACAUGUGCAUUUGGGCUUUAGCCAUUUUCAUUCAAGUCAAUUUACCUUUCUGCAUUUUCAGCAAAGUUCAGCAUCACAUGUCACCUUUUAGACACUUUUAUCCAAAGCAAGUUACAUACUUUCAACACUGAGGACAAUCCUCACAGGAGCACUUUGGGGUGAAGUGUUUUGCCCAGGGACACAACGACAUGCUGACUGCAGAGGAACCAGUAAAUGACCUGUCUGUCUCCAUGGUGAUGACCCUGCCCACCCACGCUGAGCAGCUAUUGGAUGAUGACUAUGAUGAUGUCAUGUCUGCUGUGACCACAGAGCAUCAGUUCUGAAACAGAGACGGCAAAAGACCCAGAACGCUUCCCUGAGGAACUCCACGUGUCCUCGUUGCCAUGGCGAUGUUAUAAUUACACAUUUCAAGAUAAAAAAACUCGCUCACCAUCCGAUUGGUUUUAAAGAUUCUUUAUUAUAGCUUGACAAAUCAUUCUGUGUUACUGAGAUGAAGUACAUUUUGAAUUGUAUAACUUUCUUUAACAAUCUGUCAUUUCCCCCUCUGUACUUUUAUAACAUGUUAAAUUAAAGCAACAGAACUUUGAUUAAAAUGCUUUUUUUAACGUAACAGUACUUUGGCUUGAAUAAAAUGUCUUUAAAUCCUUUUCUACGUCACAAGCUUUAUUAUAUUCCGUAACUCUGAGGCUUUGGUCUGUUAGCAUUAGCAGCUAAUGCUAAGCACAAAGAACACACGUGCACAAUAUAAAAUAAAAACAAGAACUAAUUAUAAAA